AUUGGAGACUGAAAAGAAGAGAAGUUAAGGAACUUGUCUAAGAUCAUCAAGCAAAGAAUUUAAAACUUAAGUUUCAAUAUUUUCUUAGAAAACAAGAAAAGUUAGUGAUCUCAUUAUAGAAAUCUGUUGCCCAGGGAAGAGGAAAUGGUGCCAUUUUUUUUUUCAAGAUUUUCUAUUGGGCAUGAAAAUUGCACUAAUUUUUCAGGAUGUUGGAAGAAAUUACAAAAUCUUGAAAACGGACAGACUUGCAGGGCCGCUUACCAGGAGACAGCUUUUACAAUGAGUGCACUGGCAAGAGGAAGGAAAAAGUCAUUUUGCUGCUUCAUGUGUUGUCUACACGGCGACUGUUACAGUGGCUUCAGCAGAGUCAGUGGUGGUGUCAAGAGUAUCUGGAGCAGAGAGGGCAGCUUAGUUCAUAUGAAGCAGCAAUAGCAACAGAAGAAAAGGCAGUGACAUCACCCUCAGCUUGUUGGGGAAAAGCCAGAGUGGACUAACAUACAUCCUGUGCCUGGAAAAGUCACAAACACUCAAUGCCAGCCUGUGAGAACAGCUUUGGUGGCUGAACCCUGAAAAAUCACAGGAGUAGAACUUCUGAAGCCUUUGGGAGCCUACCUUUUGCAUCAGUGUGCCCUACGUGUGGGACAUGAAGUCAAAGGUGAUUAUAUUGUAGCUUUAGGAUUUAAUGACUGCCCAGCUGGAUUUUGGACUUGCAUGAGCCUGUAGCUUGUUCCUUUUGGCUGAUUUCUCCCCUUUGGAAUGAGAGUAUUUAUCCAAUGC
RNAcentral lists this long non-coding RNA (777 nucleotides) under Papio anubis (olive baboon). RNAcentral's name for it is "lncRNA (ENSPANG00000042144.1)". The record is from RNAcentral. Lineage: Eukaryota; Metazoa; Chordata; Mammalia; Primates; Cercopithecidae.